GGGGGAUUUCCCGAGUGGCCAAAGGGGACAGACUGUAAAUCUGCUGGCGCUGCCUUCGGUGGUUCGAAUCCACCAUCCCCCACCA
Molecule: transfer RNA, 85 nt
Filed under: Bacillota bacterium
Lineage: Bacteria; Bacillati; Bacillota
Also listed under: 3 other names
Description: tRNA-Tyr
Rfam family: tRNA
About the family: Transfer RNA (tRNA) molecules are approximately 80 nucleotides in length.
Source: RNAcentral